RNAcentral lists this ribosomal RNA (399 nucleotides) under uncultured bacterium. Its description in RNAcentral is "bacterial SSU rRNA". It matches the Rfam family "Bacterial small subunit ribosomal RNA", at positions 28 to 424 of the family's 1533-position model. The record is from RNAcentral.
AUUGAACGCUGGCGGCGAUGCUUUACACAUGCAAGGUCGAACGGCAGCAACGGGCUUCGGCCUGGUGGCGAGUGGCGAACGGGUGAGUAAUGCAUCGGAACGUGCCCAGUGUUGUGGGGGAUAACUACGCGAAAGCGUGGCUAAUACCGCAUACGCCCUGAGGGGGAAAGCGGGGGAUUCUUCGGAACCUCGCGCAAUUGGAGCGGCCGAUGUCAGAUUAGCUUGUUGGUGAGGUAAAGGCUCACCAAGGCGACGAUCUGUAGCGGGUCUGAGAGGAUGAUCCGCCACACUGGGACUGAGACACGGCCCAGACUCCUACGGGAGGCAGCAGUGGGGAAUUUUGGACAAUGGGGGCAACCCUGAUCCAGCCAUGCCGCGUGAGUGAAGAAGGCCUCGGUU